CCAUCUCUCUCUCUCUCUCUCUCUCUCUCUCUCGCUCUCUCUCUCUCACACACGCUCACUCUCGUCACGUGACUGCAGAGACUUUCAAUAGCACUGUGUUAUCCCGACAUAUGAAAAGAGAGAUGGAAAGCAAAAAGAACAGAAGGCGCACGUGGAAGAGACAGGGUAUAAAAAUUCAGGCAAACCUAAAGGAUGUUGGGGAAAUAUACGGAUUACAAACUGGUAAUAAAACGGAGAAAUAUACUGUGCAGUAUUUUAGCUGUUAAAUUCAAAUUAGAAUAAAAUAAAAUCUCAUCGGGACUGGCAUUUUGAAAUAUAGUCGCAGAAGAGGUAGUGAAAUAAAAAGAAUAAACUUCUAAAAUUAAGUUUACGAAUGCAUGCAGCUGGGAACCGCACUUGAUUAGGACGGUGGUGCGAGCGUAUGAAGUGCGCACUAAUAGGAUGCUUGCUGCAAAUGUUGUAUAUAACGUGAUAAAUCACAAGCGGAGAAGACACCACGAGAUGGCAAGGAGGCAAGGAACUGAGAAGAUUACUGUUUAGAAUGAAUGAACGACCAGGAGUUUGUGGGACCAAAUAUUACCGCAAAAAGAGCUGAUCUGUCUCCAGCCAUUGUGUAUCCCUCCAUAUUUCUUAUCAGUUUUGCUGGAGAAUAUCACGGAAACAACGGGCUGAGGGCAGGAACCAGCCUUCGAUGGGAUGCCAGUCUGUCACACACUGGUCAUCCAAUCAAUGUAACAGCGUGUGCUUAAACUAUCAGUAGAAACUGAAGUCCCAGGUGGAAAUCAGAAUGACCAUGGAGUGAACAUAGAAAAUUUGAACCGUUGUCUCUUACUUCAGCCACAAACUCAUCUAGUAAUGGGCUGUGAAGGCCUGAGGAACUCUUGGGAUCAUCAUUCUGGAACACUCACUACUGAAAGGCCAGCAUACCCCUAGUUUGCCUGUCUAGUGAAGUGGAAAGCAGAAAGUCAUGUAUAUGGUCUUCACUGCUGCCACCAAUCAACUCACUCAUAACCAAAAUACUUUUCAUUAUGUCAUCACCCUAGAGAUAAAAAGUCUGGGGCGCCCUUCUGCAUUAAGAAAAGCUGAGGAAAAUUAAUCACCAACAUUUCCAGCUUCCAAAAUGGCCGACACAACAUCACUUUCGGUCACAUGAACUGACAUCACUUCCGACGAGUCAAAAAGACAUUACUUCCAGUUUUCAUCAAAUGACGUCAUUUCCGCUUUCUGUUGCCACAUCACUUCCUGCCAACCAUUUCCUAUUCCCAUAAUACAUUUAUGUAUGUAAACACCAUUUUGAAUGAUAAACUUUGUCAACUGUUACCUCUUUGGUCACAUUUUCAUAAUUUCUUUUGCUACUUUGUGUGCAGGACAAUAUAUACGGGGAGGGUCCCCAACACUGUUUUGUGUGAGACGUUUAUUACUUGGGAAAAUCUCCACACUCCAUAUUGAAUUGGCUGCAAAAGUUCUUGUAGUAUUUGAAAAGUUAUUUUUCAAUUAAUUUUUUCAUAAUACUGCUUGUAAAUAGGAUUCCUUUUGCUUGUAUCUUUUAUUGAAGUAGUAGUGAAACGAUUCACCUUGUCUUCUCCUUUUUUUAUACAUAACAAAGUAUGCAUUUAUUAUGACCUUAUUUAUAUCACUGCCCCAGUUUCUUUACAGCUAAUGCUACCGUUUGUCUUGCUUGCUUUAUGGACUUGUUACACAGUUUGGCUAUAUUGUUCACUAGCUGCUGUGUGUAUUUUAAGCCUGGUUAAUUCAAGGACUGCAAGACAAAAAAAUAGCUAUUUAAGCAUUGUAUCUCUGCAGCCCAGAGCCUCCAUCCUGGAGCUCCAAGUAGAUGGAGCUUAUUCCAAUGGCUGCCAAUACAGUCUUGUUGCAGACCUCUAGAGCUCUGCCAGGUUACACCAUGGUUAAGAUUAGGGUUGUGGGAGGGUUAUCUGACACAGAUAACAACAGCUGUCUGUUAUAUAAACUUCUGGUACUUGUAGCUACAGGGUGGAGGCUUCCAGGCUGCAGAGAUGUAUAAUUGGCUAGAUUUUCACUCCUUGUAUUCAAAAUAGUGAAUUUUGAGGUGAGGUUGGUGCUGUAGGACCCAGAAUGAUGAACAAAGUGCUGGAUAUGAUGCAACAGCUCAUCAAAGUGUAAAGAAGACAUGCAAAAAUAUUUCUUCUGCAUUUGUUCAUCGUGUAGAUCACCCACUUAUGAAAAUAUUAUACUUACCUUCUCUUUACUGCUUUUGUUUAAUGGGUCUGACAGGCCAUCUUCUCCUUUUUUACCCACUUAAAGCCAGUAAAAACAGGCUCAUCUCUUCUUCCAUCAGAAAAGUGUCUUUUUAUUAUGUGACAUUUACCAAACACUGUCACCUACUGAUGUAGCAAUCGAAUGGGCCACCACAAGUAUAAAUGCAUUUAGGUCACUGACAGCAUGCACACUUCAUGUUGAGGUCUGUGUGCAGGCUUCACGCAUAAAGUAUAAAUGAGGCAGUUUGGCGCAUUAUUAGCAGCUGUCUUUAAUAGUGUCAUCCAGGUUAAGGUUGUACUUGAAGAACUGGGUCUUUUGUUUUUAGGGCUGGGAAUUGAUUUAAAAAAUACCUAAUUAAUUGCAUAAUUGUAUAGAAUUAAUCACGAUAAUUCACAUCUAACAUUAAAACUUGCAAUCAUAAAAUAAAUACAUAAAUCAUGAAGUACAUAUACACUGAAUCACAAAAUGAAUGUAGAAUUAAUAUAAAGGAAUUUCUAAAAAAUGAAUGGCAUAAUUUAAACUUAAACAAUGACCUGAAACCUGACCUUUUAACAAAAUUCUAUUUGAGGAAGUAUAAUCUGAAUUUGAAUGCCUUCCUAUAAGGCAACUUGAAAAGAAGGCACUAAGAAAAUGAGGCCAAUGCAUUAAUUCUCAAAUUGGUAUAGCAUAUGAGACAUAGACGUUUCAAAGUAAAAUUAAAUAAUCAAAAUGACCGUAUACUUUAAAUGCAUUGCUAAAGAUUUCCUUAUUCAAGAAAUAAUCAUCUCUUAAAUGGAAUACAUUAAAACAUGUGUUACAUGCCAUCCACAAUUGUUCAUCACCAUCAGUGACUUUAUGAUUAUACUGUACAUAAGUAUUUUUCAACUGGUGUGCCAUGAGAGCUACGCAGGUGUGUUACAGAAAUAAUAGUGUAGUGCCCCAGGUCCAGACCUGAGAGAGACACACUCCUCAGGUGGUCAAGACCUGUCCGAGGAGGACAGGACUACCUGGAGAAGAUGACAUAAAAUUAGCUCUGCAUUUGCCAUUUUGCAGAUACAGCACUUCGAGAGCAAUUUAGCAGCCAGAGUAUGUGUCUGGGAUCCAUCUUGGUGUGUUCACCACCGACUGUCAUAGUACUGAAUGAUAGUGGGCAUAUAAGUUGUCUCUAACCCAAAGGGAUGAAACAGCUGGAAAAUGUGUCCAAAGUGCUCACAAUGUGCCAUGUAUACGAAUGGUAAUCUCCAAGCUGCUUGUUUUGCUGGCAAUUCUAAUAAUUCCUUCCCCUCGGACAGUUUAGCACAUGUAUGAAACAAUGUUUUUGUGGUUGGUGGAAUAGUGGUGUACCUUAGGAUUUUUUGGGUUACAAAAGUGAUCCACCACAGAAAGGUUGGAAAACACUGCUCUACAGCAUUGCUCCUAGCAUGCAGCUCAGUAACACCAUGCAUUACUUGGAUGGUUAUGUUGUGCUUUUUGAAUGAAUUUGCAAAGAUACUACAUGCUGGAAUUAUGGGUAGGGAUAAUCAUUAUACUUCUGUUUCAUACAAGUUUGUCAUUAUAUUAGGCCAGCAAGCACUUUAAUCUACAAAUCAGACUCGCAAGUUAAAUAUAGAGGUUCUAGAGUCUUAUUUUGGUUUUAGUGCCACUCAAAGAAAAUAUAUUUUGCAAGUAUGUGAUAUGAUAUCGAUUUGAUCUUCUAACAGAAAUGUGAAAUGAAAUAAAGAGUGUGUAAUUUUUAUGUAUAAAUCAAGGAAAUGAACACCAGUACCAUGUACUGACAUGUGACAAGGUAUUGUGAACCAUGUAAAAUAAAAAAAACUGUCAUCAUUUUUAAAGGUAGUGUAUAAAAUAUGGUACUGAAUUAUAAAAAAAAAAAGAAUGAAAAUUUUAAUUUAGCUGAAAACAAAGGCAAGUCUGCUAAACCCAAAGGUUAGUGUUAAUGUUUCUGUGGCUUUAGGAAAAACAAAUUACAUCACAUUUUCUGUGGGGUUGAAUGAGGCAGAAUCCUUAUGCAACUUUGUUUUCCUAUUCUAAUUUUGUUUUAGCCUUGUUAAGUUAUAUAUUUAUUAUACUUUGAUUUACUGUAUAAUGCAACACCAUUUUGCUUUUCUACUGCCAUGAUGACAUUUUUGUAAACCAUUGCCAUGGUGAAACUUCUCAUUGCUCGGGGGUGUGUCCCAGAAGGUGCAUCCUAUGACACUAUCAGCACCACCAACAGUACUGGCAAUAACUCAUUGUCCAAGUCUGUGGAUACUCUCUGGAAGUCUUGUGCAAAGCAUAGUGUUGGGUUUUGGGCAAAAACUGGUGAGUGUGUUACUGAUUAUGAGUUUGGUUUAUUUUCUGGUUUUGCAGAAUUAUUGGUUUUUACUUAGAAUAAUACUGAUAUGUUUCAUCUUUUUGACUUGUCAACUUUUCUCCCAUUACGGUCUGCCACUUUUCCAUCUCUUGUCAGCCUAGUAAGUAACCAGAAAACAAGCCAAAUCACAUAAACCAAUUGAUCAAAAUCAAAAAUCCUCAAAAAGAACUACUGUUUCAAAAAGGAUUGCUCAGCUAUAGCAAAUGAUUCCUUUAAACACACAAUUAUGAGGACAAUGACCAGUGCAAAAUUUACCAGAAUCACAAAAUAUUAAAACAAAAAACAAACAAGGGAACGGGAUAAUGAUAAAAAAAGACAAAAGAACAAAAAUAUAAUUUUAACAAGGACUGGCUCCCGGAUACCCCAAAUGUUUAUAAAAAAUGUAAAGAAGAGGGGAGUAGCACGUCUUCAAUUCAAAAACUUCCCCAACCGUUCACAAGAGAAUUUUCUGGGAGUGGUUUAUUAAACAAUAUUUUAGCAAAAAUGAAUGUUUUUGGAUAUUCUGAGAACAGAACUGUAUAAGUACCAUAUGGAAUACAAGUAAAUUGAGAUUUUCUUCAUUGUCAUUUUGAUAUUGGUGGCUGUCAUGAACAUUGUUACUUUUGUUUUGUACUUCAUUUUCUUCUACUACAUUUGUGUACUAUAUACAAGAUAUGGUAAGCAACAGUUAAAAAAAGGUAUUUUUUGUGGUGCAGUCCAUUGAGGUUACAUAAACAUUGAAUCUAAAUAAAACUCUAUUCAGAUCUUUGUCACAAAUCUGAUUCGUUUAUUGACUGUUCAAAUUCAUUAUCUUAUGAGUUGGUUUAAAUAUCUGUCAUGGACUAGCUGUGUAAUCUAAGCAAUCAAUGUAGACCUAAAAGUUAACGUUUACAGUGCACCAUGUAUUGGAAUGUAUUUUGUAAUGCUUGUAGUAAUAAAAUGCUUGUAAUAAAGUACAAAUUUUUGUGAU
Polypterus senegalus (gray bichir) is the source of this 5519-nucleotide long non-coding RNA. RefSeq lists it as uncharacterized. NCBI's taxonomy places the organism in Eukaryota, Metazoa, Chordata, Cladistia, Polypteriformes, Polypteridae. The transcript has 3 exons. The record is from RefSeq and is a predicted model, not a curated record.